Molecule: small RNA, 26 nt
Filed under: Bombyx mori (domestic silkworm)
Lineage: Eukaryota; Metazoa; Arthropoda; Insecta; Lepidoptera; Bombycidae
Description: ovarian small RNA-36947
Source: RNAcentral
UUCAACAAUGUUGCAGGUAUGUAAGC